Molecule: non-coding RNA, 30 nt
Filed under: Rattus norvegicus (Norway rat)
Lineage: Eukaryota; Metazoa; Chordata; Mammalia; Rodentia; Muridae
Source: RNAcentral
UCCGAAGCCGUGUAAGAGCCAGACUUCUGC